This 61-nucleotide microRNA precursor is filed under the name Pristionchus pacificus. Its description in RNAcentral is "mir-8364 microRNA precursor family". It matches the Rfam family "mir-8364 microRNA precursor family". Lineage: Eukaryota; Metazoa; Nematoda; Chromadorea; Rhabditida; Neodiplogasteridae. The record is from Rfam by way of RNAcentral.
UCUUCAUUUACCACACUCUCUCACCGGUCAGAGUGGCGAGAGAGUGUCCGAAAUGAGGAGA